CGCAACCCUUGUCUCUAGUUGCCAGUAUUAAGUUAGGGACUCUAGAGAGACUGCCUCGGUUAACGGGGAGGAAGGUGGGGAUGACGUCAAGUCCUCAUGGCCUUUAUACCCAGGGCUACACACGUGCUACAAUGGGCUGCACAAAGGGUCGCUAGCUCGCGAGAGUGCGCUAAUCCCAAAAAGCAGUUCUCAGUUCGGAUUGGAGUCUGCAACUCGACUCCAUGAAGUUGGAAUCGCUAGUAAUCGUGGAUCAGCACGCCACGGUGAAUACGUUCCCGGGCCUU
RNAcentral lists this ribosomal RNA (284 nucleotides) under uncultured Desulfarculaceae bacterium. Its description in RNAcentral is "partial 16S ribosomal RNA". It matches the Rfam family "Bacterial small subunit ribosomal RNA", at positions 1097 to 1382 of the family's 1533-position model. The record is from RNAcentral. Lineage: Bacteria; Pseudomonadati; Thermodesulfobacteriota; Desulfarculia; Desulfarculales; Desulfarculaceae.